UUGACGGGGAGCACCACAACGGUGGAGCUUGCGGUUUAAUUGGAUUCAACGCCGGAAAUCUUACCGGGACCGACAGCAAUAUGAAGGCCAGGCUGAAGACUUUGCCGGAUUAGCUGAGAGGUGGUGCAUGGCCGUCGUCAGUUCGUACUGUGAAGCAUCCUGUUAAGUCAGGCAACGAGCGAGACCCACGCCCACAGUUGCCAGCGUACUCUCCGGAGUGACGGGUACACUGUGGGACCGCCGCUGCUAAAGCGGAGGAAGGAAUGGGCAACGGUAGGUCAGUAUGCCCCGAAUAUCCCGGGCUACACGCGAGCUACAAUGGUUGGUACAAUGGGUAUCUACCCCGAAAGGGGACGGGAAUCUCCUAAAACCAAUCUUAGUUCGGAUUGAGGGCUGCAACUCGCCCUCAUGAAGCUGGAAUCCGUAGUAAUCGCGUUUCAACAGAACGCGGUGAAUACGUCCCUGCUCCUU
Molecule: ribosomal RNA, 471 nt
Filed under: uncultured Methanosaeta sp.
Lineage: Archaea; Methanobacteriati; Methanobacteriota; Methanomicrobia; Methanotrichales; Methanotrichaceae
Description: bacterial SSU rRNA
Rfam family: Archaeal small subunit ribosomal RNA
Source: RNAcentral